AACCCAGUGUGACUCGUCACACUAUCAUUAACUGAAUCCAUAGGUUAAUGAGGCGAACCGGGGGAACUGAAACAUCUAAGUACCCCGAGGAAAAGAAAUCAACCGAGAUUCCCCCAGUAGCGGCGAGCGAACGGGGAGGAGCCCAGAGCCUGAAUCAGCAUGUGUGUUAGUGGAAGCGUCUGGAAAGGCGCGCGAUACAGGGUGACAGCCCCGUACACAAAAGCGCAUGUGCUGUGAGCUCGAUGAGUAGGGCGGGACACGUGGUAUCCUGUCUGAAUAUGGGGGGACCAUCCUCCAAGGCUAAAUACUCCUGACUGACCGAUAGUGAACCAGUACCGUGAGGGAAAGGCGAAAAGAACCCCGGCGAGGGGAGUGAAAAAGAACCUGAAACCGUGUACGUACAAGCAGUGGGAGCCCCACCACCAAAGCAUUUGCUGUACCGCGUUGACGGAGCGAAGCGACGUCAAACCGAUACCGCAGGGCGCUUUGCGCGACAGCGCAAAGGCAGGCGGUUUCGCGUAGCGAAAGCGAAUGCUUUGGGGUGGGGUGACUGCGUACCUUUUGUAUAAUGGGUCAGCGACUUAUAUUCUGUAGCAAGGUUAACCGAAUAGGGGAGCCGGAGGGAAACCGAGUCUUAAUUGGGCGUUAAGUUGCAGGGUAUAGACCCGAAACCCGGUGAUCUAGCCAUGGGCAGGUUGAAGGUUGGGUAACACUAACUGGAGGACCGAACCGACUAAUGUUGAAAAAUUAGCGGAUGACCUGUGGCUGGGGGUGAAAGGCCAAUCAAACCGGGAGAUAGCUGGUUCUCCCCGAAAGCUAUUUAGGUAGCGCCUCGUGAAUUCAUCUCCGGGGGUAGAGCACUGUUUCGGCUAGGGGGCCAUCCCGGCUUACCAACCCGAUGCAAACUGCGAAUACCGGAGAAUGUUAUCACGGGAGACACACGGCGGGUGCUAACGUCCGUCGUGAAGAGGGAAACAACCCAGACCGCCAGCUAAGGUCCCAAAGUCAUGGUUAAGUGGGAAACGAUGUGGGAAGGCCCAGACAGCCAGGAUGUUGGCUUAGAAGCAGCCAUCAUUUAAAGAAAGCGUAAUAGCUCACUGGUCGAGUCGGCCUGCGCGGAAGAUGUAACGGGGCUAAACCAUGCACCGAAGCUGCGGCAGCGACACUGUGUGUUGUUGGGUAGGGGAGCGUUCUGUAAGCCUGUGAAGGUGUGUCGUGAGGCAUGCUGGAGGUAUCAGAAGUGCGAAUGCUGACAUAAGUAACGAUAAAGCGGGUGAAAAGCCCGCUCGCCGGAAGACCAAGGGUUCCUGUCCAACGUUAAUCGGGGCAGGGUGAGUCGACCCCUAAGGCGAGGCCGAAAGGCGUAGUCGAUGGGAAACGGGUUAAUAUUCCCGUACUUGGUGUUACUGCGAAGGGGGGACGGAGAAGGCUAUGUUGGCCGGGCGACGGUUGUCCCGGUUUAAGCGUGUAGGUGUGUGUUCCAGGUAAAUCCGGUUCACUUUAACACUGAGGCGUGACGACGAGGCACUACGGUGCUGAAGCAACAAAUGCCCUGCUUCCAGGAAAAGCCUCUAAGCAUCAGGUAACAUCAAAUCGUACCCCAAACCGACACAGGUGGUCAGGUAGAGAAUACCAAGGCGCUUGAGAGAACUCGGGUGAAGGAACUAGGCAAAAUGGUGCCGUAACUUCGGGAGAAGGCACGCUGACACGUAGGUGAAGUGAUUUACUCAUGGAGCUGAAGUCAGUCGAAGAUACCAGCUGGCUGCAACUGUUUAUUAAAAACACAGCACUGUGCAAACACGAAAGUGGACGUAUACGGUGUGACGCCUGCCCGGUGCCGGAAGGUUAAUUGAUGGGGUCAGCGCAAGCGAAGCUCCUGAUCGAAGCCCCGGUAAACGGCGGCCGUAACUAUAACGGUCCUAAGGUAGCGAAAUUCCUUGUCGGGUAAGUUCCGACCUGCACGAAUGGCGUAAUGAUGGCCAGGCUGUCUCCACCCGAGACUCAGUGAAAUUGAACUCGCUGUGAAGAUGCAGUGUACCCGCGGCAAGACGGAAAGACCCCGUGAACCUUUACUAUAGCUUGACACUGAACAUUGAGCCUUGAUGUGUAGGAUAGGUGGGAGGCUUUGAAGUGUGGACGCCAGUCUGCAUGGAGCCGACCUUGAAAUACCACCCUUUAAUGUUUGAUGUUCUAACGUGGACCCGUUACCCGGGUUGCGGACAGUGUCUGGUGGGUAGUUUGACUGGGGCGGUCUCCUCC
Molecule: ribosomal RNA, 2259 nt
Filed under: Salmonella enterica
Lineage: Bacteria; Pseudomonadati; Pseudomonadota; Gammaproteobacteria; Enterobacterales; Enterobacteriaceae
Description: partial 23S ribosomal RNA
Rfam family: Bacterial large subunit ribosomal RNA
Source: RNAcentral